Sapajus apella (tufted capuchin) is the source of this 103-nucleotide long non-coding RNA. RefSeq lists it as uncharacterized. The transcript is spliced from 3 exons. Lineage: Eukaryota; Metazoa; Chordata; Mammalia; Primates; Cebidae. The record is from RefSeq and is a predicted model, not a curated record.
GGUAUGGCAUUUCAUUAUACACAGUGAAGUGGUAUUUCAUUGUGGUUUUGAUUUGUAGUACCCUAAUAAAUAACAGUGUCAAGAAUGUGCUUGUUGGCCAUUU